RNAcentral lists this ribosomal RNA (301 nucleotides) under uncultured bacterium. RNAcentral describes it as "partial 16S ribosomal RNA". It matches the Rfam family "Bacterial small subunit ribosomal RNA", at positions 509 to 809 of the family's 1533-position model. The record is from RNAcentral.
CAGUAGCCGCGGUAAUACGAAGGGGGCUAGCGUUGCUCGGAAUGACUGGGCGUAAAGGGCGCGUAGGCGGAUGGCACAGUCAGAUGUGAAAUUCCCGGGCUUAACCUGGGGGCUGCAUUUGAUACGUGUUGUCUAGAGUGAGGAAGAGGGUCGUGGAAUUCCCAGUGUAGAGGUGAAAUUCGUAGAUAUUGGGAAGAACACCGGUGGCGAAGGCGGCGACCUGGUCCUUGACUGACGCUGAGGCGCGAAAGCGUGGGGAGCAAACAGGAUUAGAUACCCGCGUAGUCCCUGUCUCUUAUAA